UCCCUGGUGGUCCAGUGGUAAGGACUCUGCACUUUCACUGUGGAGGGCCUAGGUUCAGUGCCUGGUUGGGGAA
Ovis aries (sheep) is the source of this 73-nucleotide transfer RNA. It matches the Rfam family "tRNA". From Rfam's summary of the family: Transfer RNA (tRNA) molecules are approximately 80 nucleotides in length. The record is from Rfam. NCBI's taxonomy places the organism in Eukaryota, Metazoa, Chordata, Mammalia, Artiodactyla, Bovidae.